This 167-nucleotide ribosomal RNA is filed under the name uncultured bacterium. Its description in RNAcentral is "partial 16S rRNA". It matches the Rfam family "Bacterial small subunit ribosomal RNA", at positions 352 to 511 of the family's 1533-position model. The record is from RNAcentral.
CAGUAGGGAAUCUUCCACAAUGGACGAAAGUCUGAUGGAGCAACGCCGCGUGAGUGAAGAAGGGUUUCGGCUCGUAAAACUCUGUUGUUAAAGAAGAACAUAUCUGAGAGUAACUGUUCAGGUAUUGACGGUAUUUAACCAGAAAGUCACGGCUAACUACGUGCCAG